This 433-nucleotide ribosomal RNA is filed under the name uncultured bacterium. Its description in RNAcentral is "partial 16S ribosomal RNA". It matches the Rfam family "Bacterial small subunit ribosomal RNA", at positions 29 to 507 of the family's 1533-position model. The record is from RNAcentral.
AACGAACGCUGGCGGCAUGCCUAACACAUGCAAGUCGAACGAGACCUUCGGGUCUAGUGGCGCACGGGUGCGUAACGCGUGGGAACCUGCCCUUAGGUUCGGAAUAACUCCCCGAAAGGGGUGCUAAUACCGGAUAAUGUCUUCGGACCAAAGAUUUAUCGCCUUUGGAUGGGCCCGCGUUGGAUUAGCUAGUUGGUAGGGUAAAAGCCUACCAAGGCGACGAUCCAUAGCUGGUCUGAGAGGAUGAUCAGCCACACUGGGACUGAGACACGGCCCAGACUCCUACGGGAGGCAGCAGUGGGGAAUAUUGGACAAUGGGCGAAAGGCUGAUCCAGCAAUGCCGCGUGAGUGAUGAAGGCCUUAGGGUUGUAAAGCUCUUUUACCCGGGAGGAUAAUGACAGUACCGGGAGAAUAAGCACCGGCUAACUCCGUG